AACCCGAACCUCUCGCUCAACGUCCCC
This 27-nucleotide small RNA is filed under the name Vibrio cholerae O1 biovar El Tor str. N16961. Lineage: Bacteria; Pseudomonadati; Pseudomonadota; Gammaproteobacteria; Vibrionales; Vibrionaceae. The record is from RNAcentral.